GCAGAGAGGUGAUUGGGGGUGGACACCUGCUGGGUGCAUCAUGUUCUUCUCCAGGUCAUGGCUGGCAGGGACAGAAGGAGAGGCCUGGGGUUGGUGCCCAUCUGCUCAGAGAUUGAUCCAGAUCUACAGAGUUGUCAUUUCCCUGCUGGGAGGAGGUCUAUACUUAUAGGUCUUUGCCUCGUCUGGAAGUAGAACUUGAUGUAGGGCUGUUCCUCUUGGGGAUAACCAGUCAGGGUCCUGAUGCCUUGUGGCCCUGCUGAUGACCCUAUCAUUGCAGAGCUCAUCCAGCUCAGAGCAGGAUGACUGUGUCGACUGUGUCAUCGACACCACUUCGCUGAGCAGGGUGCCCGUGCACACGGCCACCAACAGAAGCCAGAAGAGAAGAGAGGGUGGACCAUGCAAGUGGGGACACUUCUCAGCCACAGGACGUUCUUACAUCCAAGGACCGGCUGGACCCUAUACAUGGGACUAUAAGGGGCUUCACACUUCAACGGAGGUCCCAUCUUGCACAGGAUAGAUCUCACUUUCGUCAACUAAGAGAGUCCACCUUAGAAGGGUCCACCCUCCAUCUGGCCAGGGCUUUUAGAGCCUUUGAGAGCGAUCAUUAUGGGCUCGAGGAAGACAUCAUCUGGAGGCAGAUUGUCAUCACUGCUCCCUGCACAGAGGACAACCUCGGGCCCGACCACCUGGGCGAGGAGUUCCCAUUCUCCUCUGGGCUUGGAAUGCACGACCAUACCGUGAGGCCCACACAACUCGUCCUGCACAGGCUCCUCACCGGGUGAGAACCAGGCCCCUUCCACAUCCAUGACUCACUCCACAUUUCUUGUUCACUGGGUCCGUCAACUCCCUUCUCGCAUCUCUCCUCGUCCGUCAGGUGGUAGGAGUGAGGGGACACACACCACGGGUUCCUAUGCAGAACCUAAGCACAUUAGCUAGGGAUAGUUGAAACCAGGUCUGAUGGGCUGACCGAGGCCCAGGGGCUUAUCAGAUUGUUUUCUUCCCUCUGCUGGGGAGCGUCUGUCACAGCCUUCAACACCCUCUCGGAAGGGACACGACUCUUUCCCAUGUUGCAAGAAUGUUGAGAAAUCCGUCCCGGAGGUCCCAUCUGAAUUUCCUAGGAGAGCAGCGUUCUCUGGGCUUUCAGAGGGUUGUCCAGACCCACUGUGACAUGGGGAAAAGCGAUCGUGGAGCACAACUGACAAAUAGAUUCUGCCUACCUAUAUGUGGAGGGACAUUGACAGAUUUAGCUUCGCUGGAGGAAUGAAGCAGAAAAAUUGUCUGCCCCCUGAGCAUGCACUCCCGUAGGGCGUCAGAAGCUACACUUGAUCUCAUGAGCAUGGGGGUCCACAGCAAGUUGGUGUGAUGGUCACGGCUCUCUCUGGGUAUGGGCAAGUCCUCCUGGUUUGUCAAGGAGAUGAAAACACUGGGCACCCCUUAACAAUGUGAGUGGCCCAUAGGUCAGAACAAAGGGCUCCAAACUCCACAGCUGAGUCGGAAAUGUGCAGUGCCUGUAGAGGUGGAGGGGUAGAGGGGUCUACUCAUGUGUCACAAAGAUGUGACAUUUUCCCUGCUUGGUUUCAUCUAACCCACUUAAACCAUAGCAAUCACCGGAUCCAUGGUCCUAGGGAAGAAGAAGUGUUGAGCAAACUGCUAAUCUCUCUGCCUGGAUGGUCUGGUGAGGGAGUUGAGCUGUCUAGGCAAGGUGGGACAAGGCAGUGCCCCUGGUAAGAAAGAAAUGGUAGGAAAGGGAGGAGACACACAGAGGCCUGCUUGAAUAGGCCAGGUCUUGCUCCCUCGGCCUCAGGCCGAGGUACAGUUAGGACCUGGAAAAGGGGGCAGCAGUUCCCCAUUCACCAGGCAUUUCAGAGCGGCUCGAUUUUGGUGCAGUGCAUUGACUGAAGCAGUCGCUGCUUUUCCCUGCCUUUCUGGGAACUAUUUUCUCCUCUGUUGGGGGCCGGGAAGAGUGACAGAAAUGCAUCUAGGUCCCUGAUGUAGGCAAGAUACAUUCAAAUACCACACUUAAGCCUCCUACGGCUGACAAGAGCCCUGAGUCCCCAGCUAUGGGACAGUCAGCCACUGCCCAGUCUGACAGUGUUUGUGGAGUGGCUGCAGGACAUGGGAUGGGCAGGGCCAUAGACAGCAACUCUCCUGAAACACACACACGGU
Dasypus novemcinctus (nine-banded armadillo) is the source of this 2166-nucleotide long non-coding RNA. The record is from Ensembl. NCBI's taxonomy places the organism in Eukaryota, Metazoa, Chordata, Mammalia, Cingulata, Dasypodidae.